GUAUAGUCAAUGUGUGGAUAAGAUGGUAGAAAGUGAUGGCAGAAGCUCUCAAUUAGAAGGCAGAGGUCAGGGAAUGAGGAGGAUUUUCCUAGUGUUUCCAAGUCAUAUCUCAGAUUGUGAAGGUUGGGAAACACAGAUUUAGGGAAGAAAAGUGUAUUCCUAAGGAGCUGGAAUUCUCUCACACUAAUCAUUUCCAUUCAAAGUCUAGGAUUCUUAGAUUUUAAGAGGCCAUGUUACCUAAUUACCAAUGUCAAUAAGACAUUGCCUGUCCCUGUUUCUGGACCAAAUGUGGAGUCUUGAGCAGCUGGAGGGAACUUGCAGGUCCACCGCUCCUGGUAGAUGAUUGCUGGUAAGUUCUUCUUUAAGAAGACCAAGCGUUCUGAAGGGAUGCAGGUGGAUAAGAAAGUACUCUGAAAGCAACUUUCAGUGUUAACCUUGAAUCAGUUGACUUGGACAAUUACUUGGACAUAAUAAUGGUUCACUACUAUUGCUGAGUACAGUCACUGUGUGCCAAACACUAUUUAUCACGUAAUCACCCCAUUUAAAUGUUACAAUAACCUGAUAAAUUAGACAGUUUUUAGAUGAGGAAAAUGAAGCUUACUAAGUUAAGUGGUUUGCUAUGUGACUAGUGCAUUCUCUUGGCAAAACUCUAUUAGCCUUCGCCCUGCUUCAUUCUGUACUCCAAGGCCAAAUUUACCUGUUACUCCAGGUGUUUCUUGACUUCCUACUUUUGCAUUCCAGUCCCUAUAAUGAAAAGGACAUCUUUUUUGGGUGUCAGUUCUAGAAGGUCUUGUAGGUCUUCACAGAACUGUUCAACUUCAGCUUCUUUAGGAUUACUAGUCGGAGCAUAGACUUGGAUUACCGUGAUACUGAAUGGUUUGACUUGGAAACGAACAGAGAUCAUUCUGUCGUUUUUGAGAUUGCACCCAAGAAAUGCAUUUUAGACUGUUUUAUUGAACAUAAGGGCUACUCCAUUUCUUCUAAGGGAUUCUUGCCCACAGUAGCAGAUAUAAUGGUCAUCAGAGUUAAAUUCACCCAUUCCAGUCCAUUUUAGUUUGGUGAUUCCUAAAAUGUUGACAUUCUCUCUUGCCAUCUCCUGUUUGACCAAUUCCAAUUUGCCUUGAUUCAUGGACCUAACUGCCGGAGUCCAGUUCCAGCAGCCAGGGGAUCAGCCUGAGGAGAUGAGCAGUGUCGGCAGGAAAUGAUGUAGCCUCUGACUCCAGCUACCAUGUGGGAUCUUACCUCCCAAGCUGGGAUUCAACCUGUAUCCCCUGCAUUGGAAGGCGAAGUCUUAACCACUGAGUCACCUUGAUUGAUUGACUGGGAAUUCACCACUGGAAGUCACCGUGAUUGACUGAUUCAAGGGGAAGUCUCAUUGGUUCUUAAUUAUACCCAGUAGAGACAUAACCUGUUGGGAGAUAGUUCCAAACCAUCUUCCAUGUGUUUGUUCAUCUUAGGAGAAGAGGCACCGAUCACCUCUGUUUUGGACUAUCUUUUCCAGCAUGUCUGUAUGGGGAAGAGUCUUGAAAGCUAGGAAUUGUGUCCUCUGAAACAAAAGUCAGGCAGGCUUAUUAUCUAGCAUAGUAAAGUGAGUAAGACAGUGUUUCCCUUUGGAUGGAGGGCCAGACAAGCUUACUGCACAUUAUAAAAGAUUUGGGUUCCCACACCCAGAGUCCCUCUCCCGAAACACAACCUGUUGUGUAUUCAGGUGUGAACUGACCCUUUUUGAAUCACCCCAUGGGAAUUUGGGCUUAGAGAACUGACAAAAAUGUUAAUACUCUAACAAUUGCUGUUGCUGUGAGUAGUAAAUUGGCCUUUGUCUUUGACACAGGAGUCUUAUGUGUCAUACCAAUAUCCAUUAAACUGUGACC
Molecule: long non-coding RNA, 1871 nt
Organism: Bos taurus (domestic cattle)
Lineage: Eukaryota; Metazoa; Chordata; Mammalia; Artiodactyla; Bovidae
Source: Ensembl